Molecule: ribosomal RNA, 468 nt
Filed under: uncultured bacterium
Lineage: Bacteria
Description: partial 16S ribosomal RNA
Rfam family: Bacterial small subunit ribosomal RNA
Source: RNAcentral
GACGAACGCUGGCGGCGUGCUUAACACAUGCAAGUCGAACGGAAAGGCCCUGCUUUUGUGGGGUGCUCGAGUGGCGAACGGGUGAGUAACACGUGAGUAACCUGCCCUUGACUUUGGGAUAACUUCAGGAAACUGGGGCUAAUACCGGAUAGGAGCUCCUGCUGCAUGGUGGGGGUUGGAAAGUUUCGGCGGUUGGGGAUGGACUCGCGGCUUAUCAGCUUGUUGGUGGGGUAGUGGCUUACCAAGGCUUUGACGGGUAGCCGGCCUGAGAGGGUGACCGGCCACAUUGGGACUGAGAGACGGCCCAGACUCCUACGGGAGGCAGCAGUGGGGAAUAUUGCACAAUGGGCGGAAGCCUGAGGCGGCAACGCCGCGUGCGGGAUGACGGCCUUCGGGUUGUAAACCGCUUUCGCCUGUGACGAAGCGUGAGUGACGGUAAUGGGUAAAGAAGCACCGGCUAACUACGUG